Molecule: RNase P RNA, 415 nt
Filed under: Spirochaetaceae bacterium
Lineage: Bacteria; Pseudomonadati; Spirochaetota; Spirochaetia; Spirochaetales; Spirochaetaceae
Description: RNase P RNA component class A
Rfam family: Bacterial RNase P class A
About the family: Ribonuclease P (RNase P) is a ubiquitous endoribonuclease, found in archaea, bacteria and eukarya as well as chloroplasts and mitochondria. Its best characterised activity is the generation of mature 5'-ends of tRNAs by cleaving the 5'-leader elements of precursor-tRNAs.
Source: RNAcentral
GAGGCGGGCCGGGCUGCCGCAGGCUGUGCUUGAGGAAAGUCCGGGCUCGGCAGGGCACGAUGCCGGAUAACAUCCGGGGCAGGAGAGGGCUUGUGGUCCCACAAUCGUGGGCCAUGAAUUCUCUUCUGUACAGAGAGCGCCACAGAAAACAUACCGCCGCCGCAGGGUGGUAAGGGUGAAAAGGCGAGGUAAGAGCUCACCGCAUUUCCAGUAAUGGAAAUGGCAUGGCAAGCCUCAUCGCGAGCAAGGUCAAACAGCGAUGGAUUGCCCGUCCAUGCCGUAAUAUACGGCAAAAAUCGCGGGUAGACCGCUAGAAUGUAUCAGUAAUGAUACAUCAAGAGAGAUGGCAGCCAUGCGAAAAGUGCAGAAAUGCACUCGACGCAUACAGAACCCGGCUUACAGGCCCGCCUUUUUU